AGAGUUUGAUCCUGGCUCAGGAUGAACGCCAGCUACAGGCUUAACACAUGCAAGUCGAGGGGAAACGACAUCGAAAGCUUGCUUUUGAUGGGCGUCGACCGGCGCACGGGUGAGUAACGCGUAUCCAACCUGCCCACCACGUUGGGGAUAACCUUGCGAAAGUAAGACUAAUACCCAAUGACGUCUCUAGAAGACAUCUGAAGGAGAUUAAAGAUUUAUCGGUGAUGGAUGGGGAUGCGUCUGAUUAGCUUGUUGGCGGGGUAACGGCCACCAAGGCGACGAUCAGUAGGGGUUCUGAGAGGAACGGUCCCCCACAUUGGAACUGAGACACGGUCCAAACUCCGUACGGGAGGA
Molecule: ribosomal RNA, 354 nt
Filed under: uncultured bacterium
Lineage: Bacteria
Description: bacterial SSU rRNA
Rfam family: Bacterial small subunit ribosomal RNA
Source: RNAcentral